AUGCAAGUCGAACGGCAGCACGGACUUCGGUCUGGUGGCGAGUGGCGAACGGGUGAGUAAUACAUCGGAACGUGUCCUGGAGUGGGGGAUAGCCCGGCGAAAGCCGGAUUAAUACCGCAUACGGUCUGAGGAGGAAAGGGGGGGAUCGAAAGACCUCUCGCUCAAGGGGCGGCCGAUGGCAGAUUAGCUAGUUGGUGGGGUAAAGGCCUACCAACGCGACGAUCUGUAGCUGGUCUGAGAGGACGACCAGCCACACUGGGACUGAGACACGGCCCAGACUCCUACGGGAGGCAGCAGUGGGGAAUCUUGGACAAUGGGCGCAAGCCUGAUCCAGCAAUGCCGCGUGUGUGAAGA
This 354-nucleotide ribosomal RNA is filed under the name uncultured bacterium. RNAcentral describes it as "bacterial SSU rRNA". It matches the Rfam family "Bacterial small subunit ribosomal RNA", at positions 55 to 411 of the family's 1533-position model. The record is from RNAcentral.